RNAcentral lists this ribosomal RNA (915 nucleotides) under uncultured archaeon. RNAcentral's name for it is "SSU rRNA". It matches the Rfam family "Archaeal small subunit ribosomal RNA", at positions 1 to 922 of the family's 1478-position model. The record is from RNAcentral.
UUUCCGGUUGAUCCCGCCGGACCUGACUGCUAUCGGAUUGAUACUAAGCCAUGUGAGUCAUUGUAGCAAUACAAGGCAGACGGCUCAGUAACACGUAGUCAAUCUACCCUAUGGACGGGGAUAACCUCGGGAAACUGAGGAUAACACCCGAUAGAUCAUAAUUCCUGGAAUGGUUUAUGGUCCAAAUGAUUCGUCGCCAUAGGAUGGGACUGCGGCCUAUCAGCUUGUUGGUGAGGUAAUGGCCCACCAAGGCUAUUACAGGUACGGGCUCUGAGAGGAGAAGCCCGGAGAUGGGUACUGAGACACGGACCCAGGCCCUAUGGGGCGCAGCAGGCGAGAAACCUUUGCAAUGUGCGCAAGCACGACAAGGUUAAUCCGAGUGGUUCCUGCUAAAGGAAUCUUUUGUUAGUUGUAAAACCACUGACGAAUAAGGGGUGGGCAAGUUCUGGUGUCAGCCGCCGCGGUAAAACCAGCACCUCAAGUGGUCAGGAGGAUUAUUGGGCCUAAAGCAUCCGUAGCCUGUUCUGUAAGUUUUCGGUUAAAUCCAUUAGCUCAACUAAUGGGCCGCCGAAAAUACUGUAGAACUAGGGAGUGGGAGAGGUAGACGGUAUUCGGUAGGAAGGGGUAAAAUCCUUUGAUCUAUUGAGGACCACCUGUGGCGAAGGCGGUCUACCAGAACACGCUCGACGGUGAGGGAUGAAAGCUGGGGGAGCAAACCGGAUUAGAUACCCGGGUAGUCCCAGCUGUAAACGAUGCAGACUCGGUGAUGCCCUGGCUUGUGGCCAGUGCAGUGCCGCAGGGAAGCCGUUAAGUUUGCCGCCUGGGAAGUACGUGCGCAAGUAUGAAACUUAAAGGAAUUGGCGGGGGAGCACCACAAGGGGUGAAGCCUGCGGUUCAAUUGGAGUCAACGCCGGG